Molecule: long non-coding RNA, 545 nt
Filed under: Phoenix dactylifera (date palm)
Lineage: Eukaryota; Viridiplantae; Streptophyta; Magnoliopsida; Arecales; Arecaceae
Description: long non-coding RNA (PDAC_LNC015188)
Source: RNAcentral
GAGAAUCGGGAGGCUGGGUCGAUUUGGAAAUCUCCCUUGUUUCAGUGCUGCAUUGGGGCCGGCUGGGAGGGAGAUGAGCUUUGUUUUGAAGCAAAGGAAAAAAGUGUGGAUUUGAGCCUGGGAGAUUUGCUGGAUACGGGGGAUGAUGAAUCGCAUGAGGAUUCAUGUGGGAAGCUUGGAUUGGCUUGGAUAGUGGAGAAAAUCUGGGAAGGAUAGGGAAGGAUGGGAGAUGAUCCGAAACAGGGGAAGAGAAGAGGAGAAGAAUGAUGCGGAAGAAUAAUACGGGCAUGAGUGAAUUUCAUUAUUAUUUUUUUAGAGAGGUGGUUGGGGUCCACUCGGGUAGGUUGGGAGGGCUCUGUUUUGCUAUGUUGGGAAGCCUGGUGCACACGGGAAAGAUGACGUGGACAAAGGAAUGGGUAGCUUCAUGCACAUGUGGAAGAAAGUAAUCCACACAUGAAACAGAUUGGGACUAAUUCGUGAAUGAGGUGACUCGACCUGCACACACAUUAGACUAAAUCGAUAUAGAAAAUUAAACCAAACUUGAA